GAUGAACGCUGGCGGCGUGCCUAACACAUGCAAGUCGAGCGGGGUUGAGGCGAGAGGUAACUCGAGCUUCUACCUAGCGGCGGACGGGUGAGUAACGCGUGGGCAACCUGCCUCAAGGUUUGGGAUAACAGCCCGAAAGGGCUGCUAAUACCGGAUAUGCCUAUGGCCUCGCAUGGGGCUAUGAGCAAAGGGGAAACCCGCCUUGAGAUGGGCCCGCGUCCCAUCAGCUAGUUGGUGAGGUAACAGCUCACCAAGGCGACGACGGGUAGCCGGCCUGAGAGGGUGACCGGCCACACUGGGACUGAGACACGGCCCAGACUCCUACGGGGGGCAGCAGUGGGGGAUCUUGCACAAUGGGCGAAAGCCUGAUGCAGCGACGCCGCGUGAGCGAAGAAGGCCUUCGGGUUGUAAAGCUCUGUCUGGAGGGACGAACAAAAUGACGGUACCUCCGGAGGAAGCCACGGCUAACUACGUG
Molecule: ribosomal RNA, 475 nt
Filed under: uncultured bacterium
Lineage: Bacteria
Description: bacterial SSU rRNA
Rfam family: Bacterial small subunit ribosomal RNA
Source: RNAcentral